UAUGGUACCUGAUGUGUUUAUUAUAUGGUUUCGUAUGCAUGAAUCACAGUUUCAUAUAUUAUGGUUUGAAUUAUUGUGAACCCGAUGUUGUGUGGCUUUAUUUGGUGUCCAUUACUAGUUUACGUGUUUAUGUUUGAUUGGAUAAUUGAAAUUAAGAAAAAUGAAAAAAAGUAUGUGAAUUGAUAAAUGGAUAAUGUCGACAGCCUAACUAGAUAUCCCUAGGAGAUGGUGGACGGACCGGAUCCAUAGGAAACCCUACCGGGAACGUGAUCUCUCAUAUCGGACGGGGUAUGGAGACUUUAUGUGUUUUGGCGCCCAUACCGGA
RNAcentral lists this long non-coding RNA (325 nucleotides) under Carica papaya (papaya). RNAcentral describes it as "long non-coding RNA (CPAP_LNC007286)". Lineage: Eukaryota; Viridiplantae; Streptophyta; Magnoliopsida; Brassicales; Caricaceae. The record is from RNAcentral.